RNAcentral lists this long non-coding RNA (1056 nucleotides) under Monodelphis domestica (gray short-tailed opossum). RNAcentral's name for it is "lncRNA (ENSMODG00000029994.2)". The record is from RNAcentral. Lineage: Eukaryota; Metazoa; Chordata; Mammalia; Didelphimorphia; Didelphidae.
CAUUCAUGUUGUCUCCCUCCCCUCUUCCCUCCCCUAUAACUAACAUCUGAGUCUGCAUCACUAUAGGAACAAGUAGAAAUGCCAAGAAAAACGUUUCAGGAAAAAUUUAAAGAAAUAAGUGAUUUCCUGAGUGAUGAAGAGGAAGAAGUCCACAGUCUAAUGGAACUGGAUGAGGAGGAGAAUGAAAUGUUUGAGCACUUGAAGGAGCAUGAGGUCCAGCAAGAAAUCCAAAACAGAGAGAAAAAGAUGAUGAGCAACUUCCAACUGUCCCAACACAAGAAUGACUUAAGGGAAAUGGUCAUAGCACUGGAAGAAAAGUCUCAGAUGCCAGAUAAGGAACUGCUGCAGGAUGCAGGAAAUACACUGAGCAAAAUCUCGACGGGUGCAGUGCCAUUAUCCAUAUGAAUUUACUGAUGACCGAAAGAGGACUAUCACUUUCGCAGAUACUUCCUCAGGUCAGAUGUAUGCUGUUUAUACCUCUGGAAGUCUUCACUACAUUAAUGGGAUGGAUUUGUCUUUUACACGACUGGAUAUGGAUGGCAUGUCUGAAGAAGAGCAAGAAGAUCCCAUCUUUGCCUGUUACUGUGUGCCAGUUGAAAGGGAGAACUCGAUUAGCAAUUACCCUUCUAAACCCUCAAUAGAAUGGCAUUAGGAACAGAUAGAUGCCUGGGCAAACUAAGGACAGAGUUUCAGGAGGGUAUUGAAACUAUAUUCCACUUGUUCACUAGUUACGUGUGUAUCAGGGUAAAAUGUCAGUUUUGGUAAUUAAGAACUUAGUGGAAUCUUGUAUUGUCUUCUCCUUACUUCAACUAUGUCUAGAACAAAUGUGAUCUGCUGAAGAAAAUAAGCUUUAAAGCUUGCCUUCCCCCCUCUCCCACCUAUUACAUUUCCAUCUUGGGAUAUCAUUGAUGGGAAAUGGGUGCUGGACUUUGGAGUAAAGGAAAGACUUGUUGAUUCUCACCUCAGGUACCCGACACACAGGUUGUGCCACAGAUUGAUUCUUACAAAAUAUCACACAAUGUAUAUGAAUAAACAUUUGGUGGGGGGAAGUUUACA